AAUUUUGUUCCUAUAUGCAAUAAGUCAGCAUAUGCAGCAUUGAUUGUGCAUAGUCAAUGAUAUUGCUAUAGAAAUCACAUGCAAGUGCGGUGCUCCAUAUAAAUUGAAAAUGGAUAAAAUGUGCAACUUGUGAAUAUAAAUUUAAAGUAACCUAUAAAUGUGAUACUUCUUAUGAACUCAUAACAAAAAAAAGAAUGCCGAUAAUAAUUUAUGAGUACAUUCUGGAACUCAAUUUCGAACUCGUAGUCAAGGUCCAAUGGAAUUUUCUCGAUUAUUAGAAGGUUUUAGUCGAGGAAAUUCUUCUGAAAUAUUACCAUCUGACAAUGGAAUUUGCAAGGAUUGCGGAAAUUUAGUAUGAAUUGAGAAGUAAUGGCAUUAUAUCUUUAUAGAAAUCUAAUAUUGACUAAUAUUGAAAGACAGUA
Acromyrmex echinatior (Panamanian leafcutter ant) is the source of this 422-nucleotide RNA transcript. RefSeq lists it as uncharacterized. Lineage: Eukaryota; Metazoa; Arthropoda; Insecta; Hymenoptera; Formicidae. The record is from RefSeq and is a predicted model, not a curated record.